This 71-nucleotide transfer RNA is filed under the name Camelus bactrianus (Bactrian camel). It matches the Rfam family "tRNA". From Rfam's summary of the family: Transfer RNA (tRNA) molecules are approximately 80 nucleotides in length. Their secondary structure includes four short double-helical elements and three loops (D, anti-codon, and T loops). The record is from Rfam by way of RNAcentral. RNAcentral also lists the same sequence under 2 other names. Lineage: Eukaryota; Metazoa; Chordata; Mammalia; Artiodactyla; Camelidae.
GGGGAUGUAGCUCAGUGGUAGAGUGUAUGCUUGGCAUGCCCAGGUCCUGGGUUCAAUCCCCGGUACCCCCA